RNAcentral lists this ribosomal RNA (497 nucleotides) under uncultured bacterium. Its description in RNAcentral is "partial 16S ribosomal RNA". It matches the Rfam family "Bacterial small subunit ribosomal RNA", at positions 28 to 507 of the family's 1533-position model. The record is from RNAcentral.
GAUGAACGCUGGCGGCGUGCCUAAUACAUGCAAGUCGAGCGGACGGACGAGAAGCUUGCUUCUCUGAUGUUAGCGGCGGACGUGUGAGUAACACGUGGAUAACCUACCUAUAAGACUGGGAUAACUUCGGGACACCGGAGCUAAUACCGGAUAAUAUUUUGAACCGCAUGGUUCAAAAGUGAGAGACGGUCUUGCUGUCACUUCUAGCUGCAUCCGAGCUGCAUGAGCUAGUUGGUACGGUAACGGCCUACCAAGGCAACGAUGCAUGGCCGACCUGAGAGGGUGAUCGGCCACACUGGAACUGAGACACGGUCCAGACUCCUACGGGAGGCAGCAGUAGGGAAUCUUCGGCAAUGGGCGAAAGCCUGGCGGAGCAAGGCGGCGUGAGUGAUGAAGGUCUUCGGAUCGUAAAGCCCUGUUAUUAGGGAAGAACAGAUGUGGACUUAACCGUGCACAUCGUGACGGUACCUAAUCAGAAAGCCACGGCUAACUACGUG